ACGUGGGCAACCUGCCUGUAAGACUGGGAUAACUUCGGGAAACCGGAGCUAAUACCGGAUAAUGUAUAUUCUCACAUGGGGAUAUACUGAAAGAUGGCUUCGGCUAUUACUUACAGAUGGGCCCGCGGCGCAUUAGCUAGUUGGUGAGGUAACGGCUCACCAAGGCGACGAUGCGUAGCCGACCUGAGAGGGUGAUCGGCCACACUGGGACUGAGACACGGCCCAGACUCCUACGGGAGGCAGCAGUAGGGAAUCUUCCGCAAUGGACGAAAGUCUGACGGAGCAACGCCGCGUGAGUGA
Molecule: ribosomal RNA, 300 nt
Filed under: uncultured Bacillus sp.
Lineage: Bacteria; Bacillati; Bacillota; Bacilli; Caryophanales; Bacillaceae
Description: bacterial SSU rRNA
Rfam family: Bacterial small subunit ribosomal RNA
Source: RNAcentral